This 507-nucleotide ribosomal RNA is filed under the name uncultured bacterium. RNAcentral's name for it is "bacterial LSU rRNA". It matches the Rfam family "Bacterial large subunit ribosomal RNA", at positions 1959 to 2463 of the family's 2925-position model. The record is from RNAcentral.
GCGAAAUUCCUUGUCGGGUAAGUUCCGACCUGCACGAAUCGUGUAACGAGUUGGGCGCUGUCUCAACGAGGAGCUCAGUGAAAUUGUAAUGGCGGUGAAGAUGCCGCCUACCCGUGGAAGGACGGAAAGACCCUAUGCACCUUAACUGUACUCUGUCACUGGUGUUUCGGAUUUCAUGCUCAGUGUAAGUGGGAGACUGUGAAGCCAACCUCUAGGGGUUGGCGGAGUCGUCAAUGAGACACCACCCUUGGCAUUUGAGACAUCUAACAUUGACCCGUGAAAACCGGGCAAAGGACCAUGGCAGACGGUCAGUUUUACUGGGGCGGUAUCCUCCUAAAGAGUAACGGAGGAGCACGAUGGUUGGUUCAACCUGGUUGGUAAUCAGGUGUUGAGUGCAUUGGCAUAAACCAGCCUAACUGUGAGGCCUACAAGCCGAGCAGAGACGAAAGUCGGUCAAAGUGAUCCGGCGCUAGAAAGUGGAAUCGGCGUCGCUCAACGGACAAAAGG